Molecule: non-coding RNA, 144 nt
Organism: Caenorhabditis elegans
Lineage: Eukaryota; Metazoa; Nematoda; Chromadorea; Rhabditida; Rhabditidae
Source: Ensembl
GCGGUAUUGACCGCAUUGUUGUUAAAAAAUGAUUGAAUGUUGAAGAAUAAAGAAACUGUUGCGCGAGAGAUGCGGUCCAACUAAAGGUAUGCGUUUAGCGUCUCCAUUUCUUCAAUGUUCUCUUCUAACUUAUCAUUGUUUUGU